UCCAGGAUUUCCCAGUGAGGCUUCAGGUCACUACCAUUCCCCUGAUGCUGGUGCUAUUAGGAAAACUCUGAAAAGACUGAAGGCCGUGUCUAAGCAAGCCAGUACAAACAGGUUGGCCUGUGAUGAUCCAUGAUCCAUCCUGUGUGCUUUUGUCAUUUGUCAUACCUACACUUGUAGAAGGUUUUUCCCAAUGUCUAACUGAACAUUUUUGCUCUCUGGGUAUAAUGAAUCUUCAUGUGCAAAUUUGACCCUUGAUUUACACUAUGGCAAACGUGUAGCUCUUCCAUUCAGCCUGAUUAUUGUGGCUUAUUUUAAUGUUUAGACAGAACAUACUGUUUAGAAGAUCAUGAGAUAACUAUCUGCCAACAUAUAGUUGUAAUAAUUUUAUCUACUUGAUUUGAAUAAAUCAUAGCAUGAAUUUAAAUAGAAUCACACUUUUCAUAAAGCUCCAAAGCACAUUUAUCUUUUGUCUUUUCCUCAUUCCCACUUUUCUCUUGGUUCUCUUAAAAUGUUUCCUCUUCUCAUUCAUCUCUGAUUUAUAUCUCUUUGUGAUCUUUCAUCAGAUUUUUUUCACUGAAUUAAUUUGAUGGUAAUUGACAAUAGCUUAUAUGUAUGUCCUAAUGGCAUAUCAAUUAUAUUAGCCUCUUACCAUUGACACCUUAAACUGUGUACUGCUACUUUUUGAGGAGUGAUUUGCUUCUCAUUUGUGUUUUUACACUGCUUUACUUUCUAAAUCCUCUCCCCUCUACAUUUCAUUCUACAAGGCAUCCUUAAGUAGGAAGGAGCUUAGUGGAUACUCUAUUGCUUUCUCAUCCCUAGAAGCCCUUUCACUGUUCUACUGUGCCUGUAAACAUGGUGAUUCACUUUCUCAAACUUUCUUUGUCAUUUAGACUACUGCCUAUUUUUAUGGUAUAUCCACCUUGUGAAAUACUUGUAAUCAUCUUUCAAAAUUUUUAAAUUUUUCUUAAAGUAAUAAAUUUGAACAUGGAUAUAGUGUAUGGUGCUCCACCAAUAUCUUGCUACCUCUCAAUGUCUUUACAAAAAGAAAGGAAGGAUAAUCAUCCACCUCUUUGCUAAGGUAAACGACAAGGCUUGACUUAGAGAACUGACUCCCAAUAAAGAGCACCAUGACUGUUCUCCAUCCCUGUCCCUCCCUUAGCCAUGGCUGUGUUAGUGGUCUUGUUCCUGUUCUAUCACAAUUCUUAACCCAUCUGAACUUCUUUGUAUGUUACUCCCCAAUCUAAUUUCCUACUAUCUAUUUGUGGGUCGAAGGCCUAUAAUUCUGUUAAUCUCAGGCCAUGUUUUACUGAUUCUCGGUGCUUUAAAGUAUCUUUGUAUCUGAACUUUUUUUUUUGAGACAGGGUGUCUUAGUCAGUGUUCUGUUGAUGUUAAAAGACACCUUGACCAUGACAACUCUUAUAAAGGAAAACAUUUAAUUGGGGUUGACUUACAGUUUCAGAGGUUUAGUCUAUCAUGGCGGGAAACAAGAGGUCAAACAGACUUGGUACUGGAGAAGUACUAGACAAAUAGCUGAGAGUUGAACAUUUGUAUCUGCAGGAACAGCAAGAGAGAGCCACUGGGCCUGGCUUGGGCCCUUGAAACUUCAAAUCUACCUCCAGUGACACACUUCCUCCUACAAGGCCACAUCUUCUAAUCCUUUCUAAUAGUGCCACUCACUAUGGGCUUGUAGGGGCCAUUUUCUUUCAAACCACCACAGAGGGCUUCUCUACAUAGCCCUAGCUGUUCUGAAACUCACUCUGUAGACCAGGCUGUUCUCAGACUUAGAGAGAUCAGCCUGCCUCAGCCUCCUCUAAGAGCUGGGUUUAAAGAUGUGUGCCACAAUGCUUGGCGACUUUAUCUGAAUUCUUAAUAGAGUUUAAUGGAGAAAAUGAAUAGUAAGUAAAUUAUUUUCUCCUCAUCCCCAUGAGCCUUCUACAAAAGAUGAUAACUUAUGUUAAGUACCAGAGUUAAUCAAACUCUGAUUUUCAUUGGAUAAACUUUAUUUCCCAGAACUGUGUUUCAGCUAUUGUCAUAGUUAGGGUUACUGUUGCUAUGAUGAAACUCCUGACCAAAGCUUACACGUCCAUAGCAUAGUUCAUCAUCAAAAGGAAGGCAGGACAGGAAUUCAGACAGGACAGGCACCUAGAGGCAGAACUGAGGCAGAGGUCAUGAAGGGAUGCAACUUACAUACUUGCUCAGCCUGCUUUGUUAUAGAACCCAGGUUUAGUCCCACCCACAAUGGGCUGGGUCCUCCCCAAUCAAUCACUAAGAAAGUACCUUACAGCCAGAUUUUUUUCCCAAUAUUUUUUAAAUUUAAUUUUAUUUUGUACUUAUUCUCUUUACAUCUAGCUCAUCGCCACCAUCCCAGUCACCCACUUUCACAAUGCUUUCCCCAUCCCCUCCUCCCCUUCUCCUCUGAGUAGGUGUGGGGAGAGGGGGAUACCUGGCACUUCAAGUCUCUGCAAGGCUCUCCCACUGUGGCCAGACAAUGCAGCACAGCUAGAAGAACAUAUUCUACAUAUAGGCAACAGCUUUUAGUGUAGCUCCUAUUCCAGUUGUUAGGGGACCCACAUGAAGACCAAGCUGAACAUCUUCUACAUAUGUGUAGGGAGGCUUAGGUCCUCUUUGGUUUCUGGUUCAGACUCUUGAGAGCCCCAAGAGUUCAGGUCAGUUGAUUCUGUUGGUCUUUCUGUGGAGUUCCUAUCCCCUUUGGUAUAGUCAUCUUUACAUCUUCCAAAGUACACUUUUAAACAUAUUAGGCAGAUAGUGUCAUGUGUACACAAUCAGUGUGAAAAAUCUAAGUCAAGGCUGCUAUACAUGUUUUUAGUGAGGUACUGUUCAAUAAUUCUAGUAGUGUAUGCUAAUUGGUGUGUUUUACUGGCAAACACUGCACAUAGACCACAAUGAUAAAUAUAUUUUACUUCUAUGAUAGUUGAUGUCAGUGUCAUCAUGAUGCUGAGAGAUCGGAGGUUUUAUCUAAUGACAGAUAGUGGUGUAUACUCCAAGACUCUCAGAAAGAACCUUACCAAGUAGUUAUACAUUUCUAAUGUCAUGUCUGAGCAUUGUACUUGAUACUUUAUCUACUGUCUUUGGCUCUAGCUUACAUACACAGGGAGGUUCAGGGCAUAAUGCCAUCUUACGUGGGUAUAUGCAGAGGCAUGCUGAGUUCAGACCAGCUCCCCUUAAUUGAUCUCAGUUUUAUAGUGUGGAAUAUGUCUGCUAGGGGACAGCAUAUGUGCACUUCAGAGACAUGCACAAAUCUCUUGUUAUUAUCAACCUACCCAAGCUAGCAUAGCUUGGGUUUCAGAAAUCUCAUGGGGGACUACAGUAACCAUCUGGAAUAGCUGAACAUCAGAGUAAUUGGCUCUUAAACCAGUUACAGAUAUUACCUAAUCCUAGAAAAUUCCUAUCAUGGGAAUUCUAAAGAAUUUCUCUUAAGUAACAUGUGAGAUGAAGGACUUUAGAUCACUGUCAUUCAUAGAGAUAAAAUAUCGUAGAUUUUUUUCUUUCAAAUAUUUGUGUGUGUGUGUGUAUACACACGUAAGUGUAGGUGCCUGUGAAAGUCAUGUGUGUUACAUCCUCUGGAGUUGGAGUUAGUGGAGGUGUUCAGCCAACUCACAUGGGUACAGGGAAGAGAACUCAGGUCCUCUAUAAAUAAAGUAGCAAGUGCCCUUAGCUUUUGAGCGAUAUCUUUUGCUCUGCAUUUCAAGUUUUUACAGCUACAUUUCUUACUUAAAAUAUUUUUUAUGUUUCAGUUUUUUGCUUUAAAAAAGUUGAAGAAAUGAUUAUUUAUGGAAUGAAAAUUAGAAAUUUUAAAAUGUUUACUGGGAAACAGAAUAGGCAUUAUUUCAUGAUUUCUUAUUUUUCAGAAUAUAGAUCAGUUAGUUAUUUUCC
This 3894-nucleotide long non-coding RNA is filed under the name Mus musculus (house mouse). Its description in RNAcentral is "long non-coding RNA chr8:61050048-61053942". Lineage: Eukaryota; Metazoa; Chordata; Mammalia; Rodentia; Muridae. The record is from RNAcentral.